Molecule: ribosomal RNA, 643 nt
Filed under: Staphylococcus capitis
Lineage: Bacteria; Bacillati; Bacillota; Bacilli; Caryophanales; Staphylococcaceae
Description: bacterial SSU rRNA
Rfam family: Bacterial small subunit ribosomal RNA
Source: RNAcentral
UGCAAGUCGAGCGAACAGACGAGGAGCUUGCUCCUCUGACGUUAGCGGCGGACGGGUGAGUAACACGUGGAUAACCUACCUAUAAGACUGGGAUAACUUCGGGAAACCGGAGCUAAUACCGGAUAACAUGUUGAACCGCAUGGUUCAACAGUGAAAGACGGUCUUGCUGUCACUUAUAGAUGGAUCCGCGCCGCAUUAGCUAGUUGGUAAGGUAACGGCUUACCAAGGCAACGAUGCGUAGCCGACCUGAGAGGGUGAUCGGCCACACUGGAACUGAGACACGGUCCAGACUCCUACGGGAGGCAGCAGUAGGGAAUCUUCCGCAAUGGGCGAAAGCCUGACGGAGCAACGCCGCGUGAGUGAAGAAGGUCUUCGGAUCGUAAAACUCUGUUAUUAGGGAAGAACAAAUGUGUAAGUAACUAUGCACGUCUUGACGGUACCUAAUCAGAAAGCCACGGCUAACUACGUGCCAGCAGCCGCGGUAAUACGUAGGUGGCAAGCGUUAUCCGGAAUUAUUGGGCGUAAAGCGCGCGUAGGCGGUUUUUUAAGUCUGAUGUGAAAGCCCACGGCUCAACCGUGGAGGGUCAUUGGAAACUGGAAAACUUGAGUGCAGAAGAGGAAAGUGGAAUUCCAUGUGUAGCGG